CAUUGGGCUAUUUAUUGGUAAAUUUUGUUGCUGAUAGUAUUCUUCUUUGAACAUGAAAUAUGAUCUUUGUGAUCCUAUUUCAUGAGCAAAUUUCAUAUAGGCAUAGUCUCUUCUGGAGAAGUAUAACACAAAUCUAUAUAGUUCAGUGCAAGCAGGUUCCAUUCAUAUUGAAGGGUACAUUGACUGAAAGUUAUAGACUACUAGUUUUUCUUUGGGGAAACUGUCCUAUUUCCAGUAAUCCGUUUAUAAAUUCUUCUUCUGAUUAAUUACAUGAUUAUAAUCAUCCAAAUGUGACCUACACUAUUUAGUUAGCUUUUGCUCUAGUACAUAG
Molecule: long non-coding RNA, 331 nt
Filed under: Androctonus crassicauda
Lineage: Eukaryota; Metazoa; Arthropoda; Arachnida; Scorpiones; Buthidae
Source: RNAcentral